This 30-nucleotide non-coding RNA is filed under the name Mus musculus (house mouse). The record is from RNAcentral. Lineage: Eukaryota; Metazoa; Chordata; Mammalia; Rodentia; Muridae.
UGAAUGAGAAGAAAGUGCGUGGUUCCUUUU